This 2403-nucleotide long non-coding RNA is filed under the name Linum usitatissimum (flax). Its description in RNAcentral is "long non-coding RNA (LUSI_LNC005693)". Lineage: Eukaryota; Viridiplantae; Streptophyta; Magnoliopsida; Malpighiales; Linaceae. The record is from RNAcentral.
UAACUUUCAGCUCUUCUUUUUGGUCCUCGGGGUACUUGUUGCGGUUGUGGUAUCAUAUGGUUUUGCAGCUUCAAGAUAUGGGAACCGUUUGCUGAUUACAAACUCAAGAUAAAGUAAGAGUAAGAACAAGCCUGGAGUUGGCAUUGGAAACUGCGAUUUGGUAAAGGAAACUCGGAAAGGUUAGUAGUAGAAGAAUGAGGAUGGCAUAACAGUAGCAGAGUAUAUUUAGUUUGCUGUAACAGGUCUCGGUUGUUCUCGUGUGUAAAGUGUAAAGAACGGCUCAUUCCCAGCAGAGGACUUCUGAGAUGCUACCUUUUCUGACAGUUGAGCGACCCUAUGAUUGGACUGUUAACAAUUGAUUGCCACUCGUCUAAACCUCUUGCAAUAAAUGUUUUGAGGGACGGUAGUUUCUCUAAAUACUCCGUUUUAAAAACUGUCAUUUUAAAAGUAACUACCGAUUCUCAAAACACAAAACCUAAGGCUACAUAUGGUUUUUCUUCAUAAUACGAUGGAAGGUUUUGGUAAACCGUUCGUUUAAAAGCGAACUGCAAUAGGGGCUGAAUUCUUAAUCUUUCAAGGCACCUUAUGAUUGCAGUCGAGUCUGCAGAAGCUAUUACUAGAAAGAUUGCAGUCGAGUCUGCAGAAGCUAUUACUAGAAAGAAUGCUUUGAAAAUUGACAUUGAUUCCGUUGGAUUUUAUUUGGACGGCUGAUUGCGUAAUCACUCUUAGGAAAUUGUAGCUAUCUUACCUAUGAUCGUACAGAUAUGCUUUAAAAUUCUCACGAAAGUCCUUACUAUUAGAUUUCAAGCCUUUUCUUAACGGGAUGAUUGACCCCAUCAGAGUAGCUUUCUCCUCGGUCGUUUGACUCAAGACAAUAUUUAUUGGCUCAAGAGGCUAUCCAUUCCAUUUGUAAUCGCAAAGGGCGAGAGACAUGUAUGAUCGCUAAGAUUGACUUAGAAAAGGCUUAUGACAGGGCUGCGAGAGUUGCUAUUUUAUUUAAUGGCAAACCGACGGAAGAGUUCAUCACUUCGAGAGUAUUACGACAAGGUGAUCCACUUUCACCUUAUCUAUUUACUCUCUGUAUGGAACGACUUUCUCUCUUGAUUCAAGAACAGGUACAGAAAAAUCAAUGGCAGCCAAUUCGAUUGAGCAGAUCCGGACCAGAGAUCACGCACCUGUUCUUUGCAGAUGAUCUCUUGAUCUUUGGAAAAGCAUCGGCUGUCCAGGCUGCCUUUAUGUGCGAAGUUUUCGCAAACUUAUGCAGUGCUUCAAGUCAAAGGUCAACUCGCUGAAAUCUGUCAUCUACUUGUCCGAGGGGUGUCCGCUUGCAAGGAAGAAUGAGAUUUUGGCGAUUACUUAUUUCAAGUUGUCUACAAACUUGGGAAAGUAGCUUGGGGCACCUUUAAUCCAUGGGCGGGUUGCCAAGGCCACCUACUUCGGGGUCGUGGAGAGAGUCCAACAAUGAUUAGCAUGUUGGAAAACUAAGUUGCUGUCAGUUGCGGGCAGGGAAACUCUUAGUCACUCUACUCUCACCGCAUCAUUCAUGGUACUGAUCCUUGGCCUCGAGUAAUCGUCUGGUAGAUGGUGCAGCAACUAUCAAGUGAGUUACACAGCUUAGACAUAAAAACUCCCAUUACGACUAAACCACCGAGAUGUGUCAAGUGGGUGAAACCGAAUCUUGGAUGGGUUAAACUCAACGUCGAUGGAAGUCACCGAUCGGAGCCUCCUUCAACAGCCUUCGGGGGCCUUAUUAGAGACGAAAAUGGUCAAUGGAUUGCUGGGUUUUACACCAGAAGUGGUACACAAGACAUCUUACAGGCCGACUUGCUCGCCAUUUGUGAUGUCAUAUCUCUGCUCCAAAUGUUUGGCUACAGAAGAGCGAUCGUGGAGUCAGAUUUGCUUCAAGCAGUUCGGCUAGUCACCCGCGAAGACAUUUCUGCCCACCCUCUCUUUUCGAUUAUUAUGGACAUUAGAAGUGGCCUUCAACCAGGGGAGAAUUUUAAGCUACAACAUGUGUUUCGGGAGCCAAAAAAAGCAGCUGAUAUGCUUGCGAAGAUGGUUCACAUCGACGAGAAAACAGGGGAACAUCUACUGCCAUUUCCCCCAGUCGAGCUCGAUGUGGUGAUAUCAUCUUAGAGUGAAACCACUGAAGAUGCGGGAGCCUAACUGCUGACUCGGUUUCUAUUUUUUGUUUUCUCUGUUCUUUUGAGUUUCCCCUUCUACCAAAAAAAUGAGGAUGGUUUUACCCCUACACUGCAUAUAUAUACAAUUCAAUUGUCUUUACUGAAUUAUCAUCCUUUAUUGGGCUGUUCAUUUCAUUACGUGAUUUGAUUAUUCAUUAAUUAGUGAUUGAUAUUUUCAGCCAGUUAGUAUUGGAUGUGGAAUGUGAUGUGGGUUUAAUUA